AUAUGAUCAAGCUAACAAGGGCACACGGUGGACGCCUAGGCAGUCAGAGGCGAAGAAGGACGUGGGCAGCUGCGAUAAGCUUCGGGGAGCCGCUAACAGGCUGUGAUCCGGAGAUCUCCGAAUGGGAAAACCCCCUGGCGACGAGCCAGGAACCUGGCAACAGGUGGCCAACGCAGGGAACUGAAACAUCUAAGUACCUGCAGGAAAAGAAAGAAACCUCGAUUCCCCUAGUAGCGGCGAGCGAAGAGGGAAUAGCCCAAACCGAGGGACGCAAGUCCCGAGGGGUUGUAGGGCCCGCAAUAUCCGAAGGGAUCGUAGUCGAACGGCAUGGAAAGGCCGGCCAAAGAGGGUGACAGCCCCGUAAGCAAAACGUGAACGUAGGUAGUGGGUACCUGAGUAUCGCAGGACACGUGAAAUCCGGCGAGAAUCUACGGGGACCAUCCCGUAAGGCUAAAUACUCCUGACUGACCGAUAGUGAACGAGUACCGCGAGGGAAAGGUGAAAAGCACCCCGGUGAGGGGAGUGAAAUAGGUCCUGAAACCGUGUGUCUACAAGCAGUUGAAGCACUAUGCCGCAAGGCAGUGCGACAGCGUACCUUUUGCAUAAUGGGCCUGCGAGUUACGUUUCGUGGCGAGACUAAGCCGAUAGGUGGAGUCGAAGGGAAACCGAGUCCUCACAGGGCGCCUAGUCGCGGGACGUAGACCCGAAACCUUAGCGAUCUAUCCAUGUCCAGGAUGAAGGCGGGGUAAAACCCGCUGGAGGUCCGAACCCACCAUAGUUGAAAAUAUGGGGGAUGAGGUGUGGAUAGGAGUGAAAGGCUAAUCAAGCUGGGAGAUAGCUGGUUCUCCCCGAAAUAUAUUGAGGUAUAGCCUCGGACGAAUGCCGCCGGAGGUAGAGCACUGAAUGGGCUAGGG
This 914-nucleotide ribosomal RNA is filed under the name Verrucomicrobiota bacterium. RNAcentral's name for it is "Verrucomicrobia bacterium (freshwater metagenome) partial 23S ribosomal RNA". It matches the Rfam family "Bacterial large subunit ribosomal RNA", at positions 1 to 924 of the family's 2925-position model. Lineage: Bacteria; Pseudomonadati; Verrucomicrobiota. The record is from RNAcentral.